UGCGCGUUCAUGUGAGGCGAGACAUUUUUGAAAACUUGUUUCAAGACACAGGAGAUGUCGGGUUGAAAUAUUAAUGAUGUUUCACGUUAAAAAUGGACCAAAAGAUUGAUGCUAAACAACGUUUGACAUGUUUGAACGAACGUAAAUAGAUUUUUUUUUAACUUUUCGUCGUGACUUUUCCCUCCCAUUUUGAGUAGCCUACCGAACGCGCUAACAACACGGAACAGCAUGGAGUUAUUUGGACAUAAAUUAUGAACUUCAUCGAAAAAAAAAAAACAUUUGUUGUGGACCUGAGAUUCCUGGAAGUGCCUUCUGAUGAAGAUUAUUAAAGCAUAUCGUCAUCCCCUCCUCCUAAGCCCGUAGUAGACGGUCGUCACUAUCUAACACCAUUACCAUGGCAGCCAGCAACACCAAGAGGCUUCAAGCUGGCAGAGCCCACAUCUAUACAGAUAGUGUUGCUGGAAGGGGGAGCUGAGUGCUGGUAUCUACUACCUCCUGCCCUUCACCAUGGGCUGUAGGCUGAGGAAGAGGACGAGCUGUGUAAACCAGUCACGCUGGUCAACAGGACAGACACUGGGGAGCUGGACCUCAUCAGGGAGUUCAGGUAUCUUGGCUCCAGAUUUCUUUGGGGGAGAAAUCAUCAAGAGAUAUGCUGGACCCUAUGUCAGAGAGGUGUUUCUGGGACCACAUUGUUUCUUUCAAAGUAGGAUUAUAGCAAUAUUUUGUUAUGUUUAGGCCUAUUUACAUGUAUAUUUCUAGUAUUGUACCUAAUGUUGGCUGGUAGGCUAAAUGUCUUUUAUGUAUGCGGAUGACUCAACACUACAUACAUCAGCUACCACAGCGAGUGAAAUCACUACAACACUUAAAGAGUUGCAGUUCGUUUAAGAAUGGGUGGCAAGGAAUAAGUUAGUCCUAAAUAUUUAAACUAAAAGCAUUAUAUUUGGGACAAAUCAUUCACUAAACCUUAAACCUCAACUAAACCUUGUAAUUAAUAAUGUGGAUAUUGAGUAGGUUGAGGUGACUAAACUGCUUGGAGUAACCCUGGAUUGUAAACUGUAAUGGUAAAAAUAUAUUGAUACAACAGUAGCUAAGAUGGGGAGAAGUCUGUCCAUAAUAAAGCACUGCUCUGCCUUUUUAACAACACUAUCAACAAGACAGAAAAUACAACUUAUUGAACAGCGGGGACUGUGAAGAGCCACAGACACACAUACACAUGAUAAGACACGCACUCUACACAUACGUACACAUGGAUUUUGUGUUGUAGAUAUGUGAUAGGAGAAUAGUGGCCUGAGGGAACCUAUUUAAAUGUGUUGUGAAAAGUAUUAUGGAAUGUAAUGUCAGGUAAUAUUUUAAAUUGUAUAUCACUCUUGAUGGUACCACUGCUCUUUAAUGAGCUUUACGUUUCCGUGAGGCCGAUACGUAAAGCUUAUUAAAGAGCAGUGAUACUAGCAAUAGCGGUGUGAGGGUUUUUUCUUUUUUCUCAUUUUAUUCAACUGUUACCAUGCACCUGCAAAAACAGUGCCUUUUGAAUUUUAAAUUGUAUACUGUAUAACUGCCUUAAUGUUGCUGGACCCCAGCAGCUAAUGGGGAUACAUAAUAAUUACAAAGAGUGUGCCCUGUUUAGCUGUCUUAAUGCAAUAACUUACUUAGGCCUAUAUGUCAAUAUAUAGGCUACUGUAUCAGUCGAUCAAUCAUUCAUUUGUUCAUGUCAUCACAGCAUACGAGUCACGCUUUGAAAUGCAAUUAAGCAUUUUAGUUUUAAAAUUAAAUAACAAAGGGAGCCUUGAAUAAUUAGCCAACAUUUUGUAUAAACUGCAACAUGUUGGCAAUUGCAUUCACAAAUGCAUGCGACUCAGGGCCAGCAUUAUGGGCGGGCCUUAGGGGGCCUGGCCUGCCCUACCAUACCUCCCGG
RNAcentral lists this long non-coding RNA (1912 nucleotides) under Salmo salar (Atlantic salmon). RNAcentral describes it as "lncRNA (ENSSSAG00000104830.1)". The record is from RNAcentral. Lineage: Eukaryota; Metazoa; Chordata; Actinopteri; Salmoniformes; Salmonidae.